CGGAGGGGCUAGCGUUGUUCGGAAUUACUGGGCGUAAAGCGCGCGUAGGCGGCUUUGUAAGUUAGAGGUGAAAGCCCGGAGCUCAACUCCGGAAUUGCCUUUAAGACUGCAUCGCUAGAAUCAUGGAGAGGUUAGUGGAAUUCCGAGUGUAGAGGUGAAAUUCGUAGAUAUUCGGAAGAACACCAGUGGCGAAGGCGACUAACUGGACAUGUAUUGACGCUGAGGUGCGAAAGCGUGGGGGAGCAAACAGGAUU
This 254-nucleotide ribosomal RNA is filed under the name uncultured bacterium. RNAcentral describes it as "partial 16S ribosomal RNA". It matches the Rfam family "Bacterial small subunit ribosomal RNA", at positions 527 to 779 of the family's 1533-position model. The record is from RNAcentral.